ACCCUGGUUGGGUUGUGCUGGCCUCUAGGGGCAUGUGCACGCCUAGCCACCGUUUUCAACCACCUGUGCACCUUUUGUAGACCUGGAUACCUCUCGAGGCAACUCGGUUUGGGGAUUGCUGUGCUGUCAAAGCCAGCUUUUCUUACCCGUCCGGUCUACGUCUUUAUAUACCCCAUAAGAAUGUAACAGAAUGUCUAUUUACUGGCCUCCGUGCCUUUAAUCUAAUACAACUUUCAACAACGGAUCUCUUGGCUCUCGCAUCGAUGAAGAACGCAGCGAAAUGCGAUAAGUAAUGUGAAUUGCAGAAUUCAGUGAAUCAUCGAAUCUUUGAACGCACCUUGCGCUCCUUGGUAUUCCGAGGAGCAUGCCUGUUUGAGUGUCAUUAAAUUCUCAACCUAACCAGCUUUUGCGAGCUUGGAUAGGCUUGGAUGUGGGAGUUGCGGGCUUCUCAGAAGUCGGCUCUCCUUAAAYGCAUUAGCGAAWCCUUUGUUGACCAUCCCUGGUGUGAUAAUUAUCUACGCCACCGAAGGCCGGCUGCUUAUAUAGGGCUUUGCUUCUAACCUGUCCGUUCGCUCUUUGUAGUGGACGACAACCCCCUGACAUUUUGACCUCAAAUCAGGUAGGACUACCCGCUGAACUUAAGCAUAUCAAUAAGCGGAGGAAAAGAAACUAACAAGGAUUCCCCUA
RNAcentral lists this ribosomal RNA (687 nucleotides) under Tephrocybe rancida. RNAcentral describes it as "eukaryotic LSU rRNA". The stretch from base 229 to 382 matches the Rfam family "5.8S ribosomal RNA". The record is from RNAcentral. Lineage: Eukaryota; Fungi; Basidiomycota; Agaricomycetes; Agaricales; Lyophyllaceae.